CCUACGGGAGGCAGCAGUGGGGAAUAUUGCACAAUGGGGGAAACCCUGAUGCAGCGACGCCGCGUGAAGGAAGAAGUAUCUCGGUAUGUAAACUUCUAUCAGCAGGGAAGAUAAUGACGGUACCUGACUAAGAAGCCCCGGCUAACUACGUGCCAGCAGCCGCGGUAAUACGUAGGGUGCAAGCGUUAUCCGGAAUUAUUGGGCGUAAAGGGCGCGUAGGCGGCCUGCUAAGUCUGGAGUGAAAGUCCUGCUUUCAAGGUGGGAAGUGCUUUGGAUACUGGUGGGCUGGAGUGCAGGAGAGGAAAGCGGAAUUACCGGUGUAGCGGUGAAAUGCGUAGAGAUCGGUAGGAACACCAGUGGCGAAGGCGGCCUGCUGGACUGUUACUGACACUGAGGCACGAAAGCGUGGGGAGCAAACAGGAUU
RNAcentral lists this ribosomal RNA (424 nucleotides) under uncultured Prevotella sp. Its description in RNAcentral is "bacterial SSU rRNA". It matches the Rfam family "Bacterial small subunit ribosomal RNA", at positions 338 to 779 of the family's 1533-position model. The record is from RNAcentral. Lineage: Bacteria; Pseudomonadati; Bacteroidota; Bacteroidia; Bacteroidales; Prevotellaceae.